GCUGGAUCAAGAGCUGUAUACACACACGUGUGCAUAGUCUGAGAACGGGGCAUGAGGUCCAAUUAUGGAGGGCCUGGAGUCCUGGCUCGUUUCUCUGGGAGAUGCAGUACGUCAGUGAGCAAAGUUCAGGUCCUUUGAGACAACUGCUCAUAUGAUUGAUAGAGACGUCUGUUUGCUGCAGUUUUCCCGGGAUCACCAACAUCUAGUAAAUGCCCAGUGACCUGCAGGAGGACACUGCUGGCAUUGUGAGGAUUGCAUUUUAAUUCUAAGGGAGUCGCAACGGC
Molecule: long non-coding RNA, 284 nt
Filed under: Fukomys damarensis (Damara mole-rat)
Lineage: Eukaryota; Metazoa; Chordata; Mammalia; Rodentia; Bathyergidae
Description: lncRNA (ENSFDAG00000024907.1)
Source: RNAcentral